AAAGUCAGUGGUGUGUUCAGACUCCAUUUUAAACUGCGCAGAACAGUGAGAGGAAGACAGGUCGUCUGAGACACGUUCUGUCAGAUUUGGGAAGAUGGCUGAUUUGGAGGCAGACGAGGACAGAUCAGAGUCUCCAGUGUCCAGCUGUCAGCUGUCUUUGAAGAGUGACUGGUCCAUGGGUGAUCCUCCAUUCUUCAGUAAUGAACCUGGACCCUCAGACACAAAAGGGAAGAAGAGGAGUCAUGUUUCUGUGGAGGAGCAGCCGUCCUGCUGUAGUUUGUGUCAGGACGUCCUGAAGGAUCCAGUCUCUACCAGCUGUGGACACUGGUUCUGCAGACAGUGCAUCAGCUCAUACUGGGA
Epinephelus lanceolatus (giant grouper) is the source of this 360-nucleotide non-coding RNA. NCBI's taxonomy places the organism in Eukaryota, Metazoa, Chordata, Actinopteri, Perciformes, Serranidae. The record is from RefSeq and is a predicted model, not a curated record.